GGAGAUAGGUAUCAGAAUUUAGAAAACAAUAGUUAUAUUAUAUCAUGUUUAUAAAAAUGUGUUGCUCAAUAAUUGUUUUUGUAAAAAUGUCUUUUUUAAAUAAUUACUAAUCAUCUAAUCAUGCUAAUAGAGUAUGUUCUCACUAUAAAAUUUUGUUGUUAUAAAAGAUGCUUAAAUUUUACAACAAUAUCAACUAUCAAGACAGCAUCAUGUGACAUCUUCAAUGAUUAAUACAUGUAGCUUUAUGAAGUUGACACAUGUAUUUACAAAAAUGUAGAUAAUGAAUGGCAAAGGGAGAUUACUCUAUUGCACGACAUGACCUGUUAUCAUUGUCCCUAGUUUCAGUAUUUUGUGUAAAAUUACACCGUAAUAUAGACCCACUUUAAGUUAAUAUGUGUAGCAGUGUAAAGUUUUAAUAGCUUGCAACAAACAU
RNAcentral lists this long non-coding RNA (433 nucleotides) under Mytilus galloprovincialis (Mediterranean mussel). The record is from RNAcentral. Lineage: Eukaryota; Metazoa; Mollusca; Bivalvia; Mytilida; Mytilidae.